GAUGAACGCUGGCGGCGUGCCUAAUACAUGCAAGUCGAGCGAACGGACGAGAAGCUUGCUUCUCUGAUGUUAGCGGCGGACGGGUGAGUAACACGUGGAUAACCUACCUAUAAGACUGGGAUAACUUCGGGAAACCGGAGCUAAUACCGGAUAAUAUUUUGAACCGCAUGGUUCAAAAGUGAAAGACGGUCUUGCUGUCACUUAUAGAUGGAUCCGCGCUGCAUUAGCUAGUUGGUAAGGUAACGGCUUACCAAGGCAACGAUGCAUAGCCGACCUGAGAGGGUGGUCGGCCACACGGGAACUGAGACACGGUCCAGACUCCGACGGGAGGAAGCAGUAGGGAAUCUUCCGCAAUGGGCGAAAGCCUGACGGAGCAACGCCGCGUGAGUGAUGAAGGUCUUCGGAUCGUAAAACUCUGUUAUUAGGGAAGAACAUAUGUGUAAGUAACUGUGCACAUCUUGACGGUACCUAAUCAGAAAGCCACGGCUAACUACGUG
This 497-nucleotide ribosomal RNA is filed under the name uncultured bacterium. Its description in RNAcentral is "partial 16S ribosomal RNA". It matches the Rfam family "Bacterial small subunit ribosomal RNA", at positions 28 to 507 of the family's 1533-position model. The record is from RNAcentral.